UCCUCUGUCUGGGCCCCGCCCACUCUGGCCACGUGACUCACUUCAACCAAUACAGCAGCGCACAAGGGAUGCUGCGCCAAUUCUGGGGCUAAGCCUUCCUUAAAGGUGUUUUUGCACUUUGGGGAACCCUGAGCUGCCAUGUUAAAAGUCCAGCUACCUGGAGAGAUGCCAUGAAGAGGUCACGUUGAGCGGGAGAAGCCCUGAGGCUACACAGGGAGAGAAGGAGAGACAGACGGACAGAGAGAGAAGAGAGGCAGGGAGCCCCCGCGGAGCCCUCUCCAUCACUCCAGUUGUCCCAGCCUUGGGACAGGGGUUGCUGACCCAGAGCCUCCGUUCUGAAUGACCUGAAGCUCACGAUACACAAAUUCCCACUCGACGAGCGUCUUUUCUGCAGAGAGAGGGUACUGAAGGUCAGCGGCUGCAGUAGCACGUGACUCAUCCUUAUAGAGGGAGAUGUGUGCUCAGCCGCUCAGUCAUGUCCGACUCUGGACCCCACAGACUGCAGCCCGCCAGGCUCCUCUGUCUCCAGGAUUUUUCAGGAGAAACAACAGCCCCACGCUUGUCUGCAAAGUGCGGGCAGCCCUCCCCAUGGCUCCUCUGCUCGUCCUGCCCUGGCCGUGGCCAUGCCUGCCUGCCCUUGAGGAAGGAGGACCAAGGCACUAAGGUGUUCUCAGUGGGGCUGAGUGCCUCUGUCAGCUCAGGGCAACACAAGACCCUCAAACUCGGGGGCUCAAAUCAGCUGCUCCUUUGUCCUACGGCUCAGCUGGGUGGUUCUCCAGUCUUGGGGUCUUCUCACUCGUUGGUGGGAAGCCCCGGGAGUACGCAGCUUUGCUGGCUCUGUCUGUCUCUCCCCCAACUCUUGGGCCUAGACUGGACUGACUGGGCUGACUCCCUGACUCUCCACGUGCUUAGCCCAGGCAGGCUGGCCUGGACUUCGUCCUGGGAGUGGCAGGGUGCCACCACCCCCUCCCUGUCUGGUUCUUUGCAAAGCAGCUAUGAAGAAUUUUAGAGGCAGGUACCACAGGGGCCUGUGAGUCAAUUCUUAGAAUAGGACGUGAUCAUCUCUUCUGGGAAGAAGGGUUUGCAGCCACUGCUGAUUCCUGACUGAGUCAUGGGUGCCUUUAUCAGGAGGCGGGAGAGCACGGCUUAGGUGCCUGUGAGCUGGGUGUGUGCGUCUGCUUCUUAACCUUCACCAUUCACAGCCCUGUGCUCACUGCACCCUCUGGAUGAGCCAGUGGGCUGGGAAGGAAGCUUGGAGCCAACGUGACUAACAAUUUCUAAAUUCUCUAGGUGGCAAUUAUAGGGAAUAAAGAGAAAGGCAUAAUUUCAAAAC
Bos taurus (domestic cattle) is the source of this 1333-nucleotide long non-coding RNA. Lineage: Eukaryota; Metazoa; Chordata; Mammalia; Artiodactyla; Bovidae. The record is from Ensembl.